AUUGAACGCUGGCGGCAGGCCUAACACAUGCAAGUCGAGCGGAUGAAGGGAGCUUGCUCCUGGAUUCAGCGGCGGACGGGUGAGUAAUGCCUAGGAAUCUGCCUGGUAGUGGGGGAUAACGUCCGGAAACGGGCGCUAAUACCGCAUAUGUCCUGAGGGAGAAAGUGGGGGAUCUUCGGACCUCACGCUAUCAGAUGAGCCUAGGUCGGAUUAGCUAGUUGGUGGGGUAAAGGCCUACCAAGGCGACGAUCCGUAACUGGUCUGAGAGGAUGAUCAGUCACACUGGAACUGAGACACGGUCCAGACUCCUACGGGAGGCAGCAGUGGGGAAUAUUGGACAAUGGGCGAAAGCCUGAUCCAGCCAUGCCGCGUGCGUGAAGAAGGUCUUCGGAUUGUAAAGCACUUUAAGUUGGGAGGAAGGGCAGUAAGUUAAUACCUUGCUGUUUUGACGUUACCAACAGAAUAAGCACCGGCUAACUUCGUG
RNAcentral lists this ribosomal RNA (484 nucleotides) under uncultured bacterium. RNAcentral's name for it is "partial 16S ribosomal RNA". It matches the Rfam family "Bacterial small subunit ribosomal RNA", at positions 30 to 507 of the family's 1533-position model. The record is from RNAcentral.